Molecule: ribosomal RNA, 560 nt
Filed under: Pseudovibrio sp. AU460_Ted2_MB20SE
Lineage: Bacteria; Pseudomonadati; Pseudomonadota; Alphaproteobacteria; Hyphomicrobiales; Stappiaceae
Description: bacterial SSU rRNA
Rfam family: Bacterial small subunit ribosomal RNA
Source: RNAcentral
AGUCGAACGGAUCCUUCGGGAUUAGUGGCAGACGGGUGAGUAACGCGUGGGAAGCUACCUUGUGGUAGGGGACAACAGUUGGAAACGACUGCUAAUACCCUAUGAGCCCUAUGGGGGAAAGAUUUAUCGCCAUGAGAUGUGCCCGCGUUAGAUUAGCUAGUUGGUAAGGUAAUGGCUUACCAAGGCGACGAUCUAUAGCUGGUCUGAGAGGAUGAUCAGCCACACUGGGACUGAGACACGGCCCAGACUCCUACGGGAGGCAGCAGUGGGGAAUAUUGGACAAUGGGGGCAACCCUGAUCCAGCCAUGCCGCGUGUGUGAUGACGGCCUUAGGGUUGUAAAGCACUUUCAGCAGUGAAGAUAAUGACAUUAACUGCAGAAGAAGCCCCGGCUAACUUCGUUGCCAGCAGCCGCGGUAAUACGAAGGGGGCUAGCGUUGUUCGGAAUCACUGGGCGUAAAGAGUACGUAGGCGGACUGAUAAGUUAGGGGUGAAAUCCCAAGGCUCAACCUUGGAACUGCCUUUGAUACUGUCAGUCUUGAGAUCGAGAGAGGUGAGUGGA